AAUCCUUCUUUGCAUUAUCAUCUCCAGAGGAUCUACAGUUGAUCCCAGGACAGAACCAGCCUUCUUUAUCAGGUUGUUGAGCCUUUUUAGGUCCCUGGCUCUGAUGCUGCUGCCCCAACAGAUGACGGCAGAGGAGAUGACUCUCAGCAACAGACUUAGAGAAAAUAUGCAGCAUCUUGUUGCAAACCUUCAAGGAUCUUAGCUUCCUCAAGAAGUACAGUCUGCUCAGUCCCUUCUUAUAGACAGCUUCAUUAUUGCGUCUCCAGUCCAGUGUGUUGUCCAGAUGAACAUCGAGGUAUUUAUAUUCCUCAACCACCUCCACUUCUUCUCCCAUGAUGGAGAUAGGGUUUGAGCUAACCCUGUUUCUCCUGGAAGCUACAAUCAUGAUGAUUGUUUCCACACCAUAACACAAAGCAGUCCACUAGCUCCCUGUCCUCAGCUUCUUGUCCAUCUCUGAUACACCCAUCCACUGCAGAAUUAUUGGAGUAUUUCUGAUACAGAAGCUGGA
Long non-coding RNA from Fundulus heteroclitus (mummichog), 508 nucleotides. RefSeq lists it as uncharacterized. NCBI's taxonomy places the organism in Eukaryota, Metazoa, Chordata, Actinopteri, Cyprinodontiformes, Fundulidae. The record is from RefSeq and is a predicted model, not a curated record. The transcript is spliced from 3 exons.